GAUGAACGCUGGCGGCGUGCCUAAUACAUGCAAGUCGCGCGAAUGGAUUAAGAGCUUGCUCUUAUGAAGUUAGCGGCGGACGGGUGAGUAACACGUGGGUAACCUGCCCAUAAGACUGGGAUACCUCCGGGAAACCGGGGCUAAUACCGGAUAACAUUUUGAACCGCAUGGUUCGAAAUGUAAAGGCGGCUUCGGCUGUCACUUAUGGAUGGACCCGCGUCGCAUUAGCUAGUUGGUGGGGUAACGGCUCACCAAGGCAACGAUGCGUAGCCGACCUGAGAGGGUGAUCGGCCACACUGGGACUGAGACACGGCCCAGACUCCUACGGGAGGCAGCAGUAGGGAAUCUUCCGCAAUGGACGAAAGUCUGACGGAGCAACGCCGCGUGAGUGAUGAAGGCUUUCGGGUCGUAAAACUCUGUUGUUAGGGAAGAACAAGUGCUAGUUGAAUAAGCUGGCACCUUGACGGUACCUAACCAGAAAGCCACGGCUAACUACGUGCCAGCCGCCGCGGUAA
RNAcentral lists this ribosomal RNA (515 nucleotides) under uncultured bacterium. RNAcentral's name for it is "partial 16S ribosomal RNA". It matches the Rfam family "Bacterial small subunit ribosomal RNA", at positions 28 to 523 of the family's 1533-position model. The record is from RNAcentral.